Molecule: ribosomal RNA, 524 nt
Filed under: uncultured Dialister sp.
Lineage: Bacteria; Bacillati; Bacillota; Negativicutes; Veillonellales; Veillonellaceae
Description: bacterial SSU rRNA
Rfam family: Bacterial small subunit ribosomal RNA
Source: RNAcentral
GUGCCAGCAGCCGCGGUAAUACGUAGGUGGCAAGCGUUGUCCGGAAUUAUUGGGCGUAAAGCGCGCGCAGGCGGCCUUUUAAGUCCAUCUUAAAAGCGUGGGGCUCAACCCCAUGAGGGGAUGGAAACUGGGAGGCUGGAGUAUCGGAGAGGAAAGCGGAAUUCCUAGUGUAGCGGUGAAAUGCGUAGAGAUUAGGAAGAACACCAGUGGCGAAGGCGGCUUUCUGGACGACAACUGACGCUGAGGCGCGAAAGCGUGGGGAGCAAACAGGAUUAGAUACCCUGGUAGUCCACGCCGUAAACGAUGGAUACUAGGUGUAGGAGGUAUCGACCCUUCUGUGCCGGAGCUAACACAAUAAGUAUCCCGCCUGGGAAGUACGGCCGCAAGGCUAAAACUCAAAGGAAUUGACGGGGCCCGCACAAGCGGUGGAGUAUGUGGUUAAUUCGACGCAACGCGAAGAACCUUACCAAGUCUUGACAUUGAUCGCAAUCCCUGGAAACAGGAGUUCUCCUUCGGGAGACGAG